Molecule: unclassified non-coding RNA, 327 nt
Filed under: fungal sp.
Lineage: Eukaryota; Fungi
Description: partial internal transcribed spacer region
Rfam family: Eukaryotic small subunit ribosomal RNA (bases 1-46)
Source: RNAcentral
AAGUCGUAACAAGGUUUCCGUAGGUGAACCUGCGGAAGGAUCAUUAACACGUAUCCAACGUUAAACAACCCUGUGAACUUUCAGCGCUCUUGUAACCCAGGCGGAACAGCAAUCCCGGUAGAUCAAUGGCGGAACAGUUUUGAUUCGGGACCUCUGUCCAAAAGGUAUCAAGUUACAAUCGAGCUAGGAGCAGUGGCAUGGUUUCCCUAAGCAGCAAACAUGUCACAGGGCUAUAUGCCCCUUCAUUCACACCUUGCCUAAUCAUGCCCCGCGGAAACGCCGGGCACAAAAACUGAACAACUGUUAACAAUGGAUAUCUUGGUUCUC